UUCGGCGUGUCAGCUGUUCCUAUGGUUACAUGCGGGGGCGGGGUUUCUGGCUGCGUGGGUUCUGUUGUUAAGAGUCACCGGGUUCGCACUAGAACAUGAAAUUGUGGCUGCAGCAGGAUGGUAUUUAUCAUUACAUUUGCAACGAUCGAGAGAAAGGAAAUACAUAUCCCGGAAAAUGGAACUCAGUAUUGUUUCCUUUUGAAACUUGGGGGCGGGUCACAUCCGAACUUUAAUGGACAACAGGAAUUUACCAACCUCCAAGUCCCGAGCCCCACCUCUCCUGGGUUUCAGAAUUCCUAGCAUAGUGUCCUGUAUGUGCCUUAUUUACACUGAGGUGCUGCUCUCUGUGUUAAUCAUACUCUGGAUCACCCUGUGCAUCUGUAUGCCUAAAUAUGCCAUCCACUGUCUUCCAAAAAUGAUCUGUGGCAGCUGAGAAGGAAACAACUGAAAUAAGCAUUUUUACUUGGAGGAAAGUUUGAAAGGAGAAGGAUCAUGGGGAAGGAGCAACUAAGUAACCAAUGCAACCCCCAUAGCCAAAAUACAGAACACCUUCUUGCAAGUAUAUGUUGCCUGACAAAGAAUUCUAAUUGAAUUAUGGAAAAAAAAUUUUCAUGAAACUUGUGGAGGCUAUAAUGGCUUUAAAAAGUCAUUUUAUGAACUGAGGUCCAAAGAAUGAAGACAUUCUAUUCCAAUGGAUAGACUCAAGGACAAGAGCCAAUGAGCAUGGUCUUACUGAGCUAAGUUGCUGAGGCUGGCCUUGAACUUGCAAUCUUCAUACCUCAGUCGUCCAAGCCACUGGAAUUACAGGCAUGCACCAUCACACCUGGCUUAUCAGUGUGUUUUAAAAUUAUUUUAUACUGAUAUAUUCUCUAUUCCUGAACCAAAACAACAUUUGUGUUUAUUUCAGCUUUUUCUAUAGUAUAUUCUGAUAACUAGGAGGGCAAAUGUUACCGAAUCUCUGAUCUUUAAACAUUUUAUUUCUUCCAGACAAAUUUUAGGACUAUCUUGUCAGGUUUUAAUCAAAAAUUUUGUUGUUUGAUUGAAAUAGCAUUAGAAAAUCACUUAAUUUAUCUAUUACAUUGUGAAGAAUGAAUAUUUUUAAAUAUUGAAUUUUUUCCAUCCAGGCACUUAUAUAUAUAUUCUUCAAUAGAAUUUUUAUCUCUUUCUUAAUGUAAGUCACACAUUUCUGAUAAAGUUUAUUUUAUAACUUUCCCCCAUUAUUUUGAGUUGAAUGGGAAUUUUUUCAUAGACAUUUUUGAAUUGAUUAUUGCUAUGCAGAGGAGAAACAUUGCCUUUUGCAUCUGAAUCCUGUCCUUGGCCCUUGGUGGACUCCAUAUAUUAGAAUACAGGGCUUGGAUAUAAAGCUUCCUAAGGUUUUCUUUGUGGGUCAAGUAGAUCAUAGGCUCAUGGGGAAAAUAAGAUAUCAAAGUGUUAAAAUGACACAUUCACCCACAGCUUGUAAUUAUAAUAUCCCUGUGUCUUUGAACCCUUGGGCUAGACAGAGAAGCCUGUGUUACAUAUACGAUCAUGGAAUGGUUGGCCUUUUGCAUCAGCUACAGGGCUGCACAUCACUGUUGAGUGGAGUUUAUUGUGUGAAGUUCAUCGUUAGGUGGAGAGAAGGUCUCCGCUGCAGAUGAAGGGCACAGAGUCAGUGAAAAGAACAGGAGUUUCAGUUCCUAGGUUUAAACCUUACUUCCAACACUUGCUGUGUGAGUCUGAGGAAGAGAUUUUCACUAGGACUCAGAUGCUAAUGCUUUUCUCAUUGUGUGUCUAUCAUGUUAAAUGGAAUAUGGCAUGGAGGAUGUCUCUGAUACAGUAAGUGUCCAUUACAUGGAGGCCUUUGCUGUUGUUGGGAAGAGGAUGUUGGUGGAGGUGGACUUUGUGUCUGACAGGCUGGUUUUGAAGUUCUAGCUCUGCCAUUUCCUAAUGCUAUUUGGACUCUUCAAGCUACUUGUACUCUUCAAGCCUCAAUUUCCUCAAGGUUGGACUGAAGAUAAUUUAAGGAUUAAGUGAGAAUGUGAACAUGCAUGCUUCACAAAUUAUGAUAUUUCAUGUAACUGGCUGGUGGUCAUGUUAUUUCUGGAAAUCUCCCUUCUUUCUGUAGACAAAAAAAUAUAUGUUCUCAUUGAGAUAUAAAGAAGAUGUGUCUCUCAUUAAAACCACAUUUUUAAAUCAAAAUAUAUAAAGUGAGCUUCAGGUAUCAUUUAUGUUUCAUAAAAAAACAUUUCAUGGGCUAGGGAUAUAGCUCAGUUGGAAGAGUGCCUGCCUGGCAUGCACAAGGCCCUGGGUUCAAUCCCCAGCACCACAAAAAACAAACAAAAAACAAAAAACAUUUCAGGAUUUUAGUUACUUGAUUUGUAUGUGUUUUAAAGAUGUUCUCAUACUAUUUUCCAGGUAAUUAUCCAGGCCAUUCUUUCAAAACCAAGUUUUGUCAUGAAACUGAGUACCAUAGAAUUCUGCUUUUCUGAGACAUGAUGAGACUUCUUGCUUCAAGCAAUGGUAUCAUAGAUUACUUAGGAAAAGUGAGAGCAUUGCCGUAAUGUUGGGUCCAAUAUUCUUCUGCUUUCUAGCUGGGUAGAAAUCAUCUUUUUUAUUUAUUUAUUCAUUGAAUUUAGGCAUAGCAGGGAGGCACUUGAAAAAUUGUUAAUGAUUAAAAUUACUUAUCAUAAAUUUGAGUCUGAGGGAUACCUUCUUUAAAAUUGGACACACUGGGCUGUACUGUAAGAAGAAACAUUUUAUUGAAGCAAUUUUAUUGCCAACACACUUUUUUCAAAGUAUCAUAUCCAAAUGCAGAUGGGUUUUUCAACCAAGAAGUGGCUGAUCUGAACAUUCUAGAAGACAGACAUUAACCAUUCACCAAACUGUGCCAACCAUCCUUGAAAAAAAGCACAUUUCAUAAAGAAGCCAUUAAAUGUAAUUAACUGUUUUCUGAACCCAGCUUUAAGACUUCCAAUUAAACAAUUUGUUGAAUUUGUUGCCAUAUCUAUGAACUUUAAAUCUAUUGCUCAGUGAUUUUCAAAGAAGUAAGUUCUUUAAAGGUUAACUGGAAAAAUGCCUGUGGAAACAGGGUGCACACACAGAUCAGAGGUGGAGUUAUCAGCAGGCAUACUUGUGAUAUUAAUCCCAAUUUACUUAAUAUCAGGUGACUCACCUGAAGUGUCUGAUCACAAGAGAUGAAUGGUAUUGUGAGAGAGUCCGUGGGCAUUUCUCCAACCUGCUCAUGAAGGACCUUUGUCCAUGUUGGAGGGAAGCAGAGGCAAAGUUCACAGUUUAUCCACAGGUGUUAGUUACAACUGGGGUCUAUUAUUCUUUGUCCAGGGUUUAUGGUUAAACCAGGUUUGUGCCUGAGUAAAAAAUAUACAAAUACAAGAUGCGCCACAUUCUCAUUUCCCAGGCUUGUCUUGCCAGCUUCUCAGCCAGAGGAGGUACCUAGGAGGAAGGAGAAGGGGAAGGCAGAACUAUGAUAUUGCUUAGGCGAUCUCAAACUGGGCUGUACUUUACCUGGGGAAAUUUUAAAAUACAGAUGCUUGGGGUUUCCAGAUAAUUCCAGUGUACACUGUGAGUGAAGAAAAUGGCUUUGGACACUCAUCAUCCAAAAGAUGAGUUAGUUUUCAACUUCUUAAAUGCAAUCUGGUAACCCUUGUUUAUUUAGAAACAAUGGUAGGGUCAGGUUUAAAGUUGUAGUUUCAAAGAAAUAAAUAUGCAGGAGAGGUGCCAGGUGUGAGUUAUUAACUUGUGAUCUAUGAAAUCAUUUGCCAGGUUUUGAGGAUAUGUGAAUUGGGACGGGGUGAGGAGGAAAAAAGGUUCAUCCCUUUCAAAGAUAAUGGAAGGAAGCCACAAGGAGCAAAUCUUUUAGGAAUCCACUGAAUGAACAUCAAUCUGUACAAAUUUAUGCCUACACUAAGGCACACACUCAGUUUUUAAGAAAGAACAUCUCUAAGUCAUGGAGGGGUAGCCCUGAGUGUUUCCUCAAACCUGUAUCUUUUCCUGUGCCUGCACCUUGUACUUCCUCUAGUCAACAGUUCCUGGUUCCCGGGGGACUAGAGCAGCUCCCACCUACCAUUCUGACUUAAAGAGAGUCACCUUUCCUUGUGCACCUUAGCACAGGGGAAUGUGUUUGAUCUUCUCUAAAGCAUAAAUUAGGAAGUAAAACUAAUACAAUCGCAAACAAUGAAGGAAACAAUGACAAAACAGGUCAUAGGAGUUAAGGGUGACAUGCAGUGUCUUCAUCCAGUGCUCAUACUCUGAGUUUCUCUUUCACUUCCCAGAUAGCUUGUCUGCUUUCCUCUCUUCCAGCCCUCCAUCUUCUCUGGCUAAGAUGGUCUUAGUUUUGGUGACCUGGGGAUUUUCUCAUGAAUCCAAAGACUCUGGCUGACUCUUAAGAAACGCUUACUAUUAUUUCUUCAUACCUUCAGCACCAAUUUUUAAUCCCUUAAAAGGGAUUGAAACCAUGAUUGGUGAAUAGGUCUGGACUCUGAUGUUAAAUGCCACCAAUAGAUAAGAGCCUCCUCAUAAAAUUUCUUAAAUUGAAAUGUGCAAAUGAGCUUCUUGUUCAAAUGCACAAUGAUAUCCUCUGAGAAGCACCAUGACCAGUGGGGUCCUAGAGCAUUCUGUUGAGAAUGACUAAUGCUGGCAGUCAAAAACAGUGCCGGGAUCCUUCAGGUAUAUCUGCCAUAUGGGGCAGGGAAGGGGCUGUACAGUUCUGAUGUCAUGUAUUUGACAAAUCGGAUGAUGUUUUCUUUUUUAGUUUAUCAGAGCCAUUGCCUUCUGGAGCAUUUGGUAGCUAUGGCCAGAUGUACCAUUGUGGUGGGUUAUUUUCCAUUUUCUUUGUCAAUUUUAUUUAUUCCUUCAGCUCAGAGAGGGAGACGGUCUUAUCCCUACAAAUAAGGAAUGGUUCCCAUCACACACUGCCUUCAACCCACUGUAGAACCAGUCAUAUCAGCACAGUGCAAGCUCACUCCCUUCUGCUGACAGAUUGGGUUUGGAGAGUUAACAAUUUGCAAGCCAGAUCUCUGUUCUGUUUGAUGGGAAUCAGUCUUUGGUCCUUCUUGCUAUUUUGUUUCCUGCCCCAGUCCAGGCUCAGCUCUAGUGCACCACUGAAACUGGAACCCAGUCCUGCAAUAGAGGCAAGUUCUCACUUCUCUUCUUCUGAGUUCAGACUCUACUUCUGAUACUCCUGGUCCAACAUAGGUGGAUUUGUGAAGGCUGAUGCUGACAGCAUCCAGUGCUGACCUUUGUUCUGAGCCAUAUUAUGUUUCCCCACCUUCUCACUGCUGCCUUUGGACAUUGAUGCCAGUCCCACAUGGGCCAACAUUAGCCCCUUGCUGUGACUUGAUGAGUUAGGUGUCCCUGAGUCUUGUAGUUCAUCCCUAGAAGGUGCUGGCAUGUUAAAUAAUUCCUAGGUGUGGUGAUGUUAAUAUUAGUAAUUGUAAUAAUAAAAGCAGUAACAGUGACCAUUUAUUGAACAAAUUUGAUGUUCUAAGCUCUACACUAAGUGAAUUACAUAUAUUGUUAAAUUUAAUUCUCAGAAGAACCCUAUGGAGUAAUUUCCAUUUUGGGCACAAUUUUAUUAGUGAGAAAACUGAGGCCCCAGAAGAAUUAAGACACUUGUCUAACAUCUCUCAGUAAUAAAUGGAUCUUAGAUUGGAACUCAGUUUUUGGAUUAAAGGUCUGCGCCCAUAACCACAUGGUGCACUGUCUCUACUGCCAGGUGCCCGAGUCUGUCCCUGAUUGACAGCUGCUAGAACUCUAAAGAAAGGAAAUACUAAUGAUCUUCUUUUAGAAACUGCUGAAAUGUCAGCUAGUUAAAUAUCUUUGGGAGGCAUCUGAUCAUGUUGCAUUUGUAUGUACUCUCAGUUCUUCAUAAUCAAAGCUCUCGAAAGUUCAUGGGCACUCUUUCUGCAUAGAGAUGACUGCUCACAGUUUAAAUACCUGGGAAGGGAGCUGAUACCUUCUGUCAUCCCCAAUUGAUGUUGUGUAUUAGUGAGGAAACAUGACCAGCAGAAAGUGAAAUUCAUUAAGUAUUUCAUGCCUGCAGUGAUUAUAAAACUCAACUGCAAUAAAUGAGCCAAUAGAACAGUGGUAUGAAGCUGCCAUAUGUCAGUGGAAAGCAGAAAGCAGGAGAUGGUUGCUUUCCAAGCUUAAAUAUGAAUACUUGGUCCAAUCGCCCAAAUCUUUGGCCUCUCUUGGCAUAUGAUAGCCCUGGCAUACAGCAGCGCUGCCACAUGGAAAUGCUGCUAGACAGUUCAGCCUUUGCAGAAAAUAACAUUUUGGGCUAUUGCAUUAAUUGCUAUUGCUUUGCAUUUAUAUUACUUUUUGUACUCAGGAAAGUUUAAGUAAUUUUAAAAGGUAAUUUUAAAAAUUCCAGUGAUGUUCUGAGGGAUCUCUGAGUGCUUUGUCUGUGGUAUCUUCUGAUUCAUAGUUCUUAGAAAAGGGGUAUCAGUGCUUAUUAGGAACAUGCCCUAAGGUAACAAUGCAGUCACAUGCUCAGGUCUCAUGGUACUAAAGCAUAGGUUACCACGAUUGUGGUAGGGAAUGCAGGCUUCUUUAAUAAUAUGCAACAGAAAUGAGUCUAGCUAACUCAAUUAGAAAAGAAAUGCAUUCAUUGGAAAGCAUGUGGUAGUUUAAAAAAGGAAAAGAAAAGCUGACUUACCAGACAGAACAGGAGUGGGGAAACUCCAGAAAUCUUGGCAUCAAGAACAAAUGUUCCACAUUUUCCCACUGGUCAUUAUCAGACUGAAAUCAUUAAUGUUCCCCCCUUAUGUAUCUUUCAGGGUAUACUCCCAGUGACCCACUUCCUCCAGCCAUAAGACAACACCUGACUAUAGUUUCUCUCCAGUCCAUUCAAACUAGGAUAGACUGAAUAAAUUACAGCUCUCUUAAUCAAGUUGUUUCACCUUUGAACAUUCCUGCAUCAAUACAGUAGCUUUUGGGGGACACCUAAUAUCCAAACCAUAACAGUGGCUUAAAACAAAAAUCAACAUUUCUAUUUCCCAUUUUCUGAAGAUCAGGAAUCUCAUUGUGGCUUAGCUAGGACCUUCUGGCUUGGGGGUCUCUCAUAAGGUUUCAGGCAAGGCAUUGGUCUUUGCUGUAAUCAUCUGAGGUAGAAGGAUGCACUUUCAAGGUGACAGUCUCACCUGAUUGUUGGGUUGGUAGUUGACUGGAGGCCUCAGUUAUUCCUCAUGAAGGCCUCUCUCCACAGGCUGCUUAAGUAUCUUGCCAACAGGAUGGCUGACUCAUGCCUAGUAAGCCACCUAAGAAAGAAAAUCAAAAGUGGCAAUGCCUCAGAAGACUCAUACCUUCACUGUGCCAUAUUCUCUAUUAGAAAUGAGUCACACAUUUGUCCUGCAUUUAAAAGAAAUGGAAUUAGCUCUAUUUUUUGAAAGGAAGAAUGUGAAAGAAUUUUCAGAUUCAUUUUAAAACUACCACAAAGUGCCAGCCUGUAAUCAGUCUUCCACCUGACUAUUAAUUAAUGAAAAAGAAUGGUUACCACUAAAGGAAGGUUAGCACUGGUUUCUCCUAAGUGAUGACAACUGAGCUGGGGUUUAAAAGCUCCAUAGGAGGUUCUGUAGUACUCAAUGGCAUUUCAUUUGAAGGGCUUUAAAUAUGGAAAGCCUUGAAAGUGUGAACCAGCAUGGCAUAUUGCAGAAAUUGUAAGUGCUUAGUUUGGAAUUCCUAGAAUCUGAGAUAUAAGGAAACACUGGUGGAAAACCAGACUGAGGAAAAGGGCCAACCAUCAAAAGCUUAAAACUUAACACGUAGUGUGAUCACCCAUCUUAGUUUUUCAGGACAGUCCUUGUUAAUGCAUGCUAUCUUGGUUUAAUUAUUAAUAGAGUCCUCUUCCACAGUCACAAAGUCCUGGUUUGGACAAUAAAUUGUAUAGUCAAUUUAAUUCUGUACCACCACUACCACAUCACCACCAACACCACCACAACAACAAAAAAGAAAAGAAAAAAGAAAGAAAGAAAGAAAGAAAGAAAGAAAGAAAGAAAGAAAAAAGCAGUGUCCAUAGUUUAGUCAAUGACUGAAUUUUUCACUCUAUAAUAAAACAAUGAAAAAUGUACCUAUUUUGUAUAGAGAAUACAUUGGAGAAAAAAAUCAGAAUCAUGGAAAUUAAUUUCAGUAGGUGAUGGUGGUACAAGACUUUUAAAAAGCCUUCUUAAUGUGUUUUCCAGAAGAUUAUGUUUUAAUUUUCUUUGGCUUCUUGUUAGAAAUGCAAAUAAUUUUUUAAAUGAAUGGGAAAUUUUCUUUUACUACACAAACUAAGAAGUUUAAUAGCAUUGGUUUUAUUUGAAAAAAGUUACAUGAAUUAACUGAUAAGAGAGACUAGUCAUAGGAGAAAUUUCAUUACACUUCUUUUUCUAGAAAAUAUUUAAUUAUAAAAGUUUGGCUCCUAGUAAUGACUCAAACUAUACAGAAAAGUUUACAAUCAAAUUUGUUGUUCAAUCCCUUUUGAUUUUAAUAAACUCCUCUAAGUUAAGUAAUGGUCUUUCUAUCUAUCAACUUAUUAAGAUAUUUGUCUUUGUUCAUUUUGUGCUACUUUAACAGAAUGCCUGAGUCUGGGUAAUUUAUAAUGAAGAAAAAUUUAUUGACUGACAGUUCUGGAGGAUGUAGAGUCCAGGAUCAAGGCACUGGCAUCUGCACUGGUGAGGGCCUUCUAGAUAUGUCUUCAUAUGGCAGAAAGCAGAAGAGAAAGGAGCAAGAAUGAACCCAUAUAUGGGAACCCUUUUUAUAAUGACAUUAAUCUAUUCAUGAAGAUUCCGAUCCAAACACUUCCCAGCAUUAUGUUCUACCUACCAACAUUGUUGCAUUGUGCUUAAGUUUACAACACAUUAUUUCUGGGGCAUAUAUUCAAGCCAUAACAGAUAUUAUCAUUUAUUUUAUUUAUAUAUUCUAUAGUACAUUUAUAACUUUAUUAAGUUUAGACAUUUAAAUAUAGGUUGAUUUUUAAAAUAAAAUGUGAAGGCAUAAAUUUAAUUUUCAUGUUUAGUUCAAUUAUUAUUUUGAAAUGCCUAACUUUGUUUCCCAAAAAACAUGCUUUGUUUUGGAAUUUUAUUUCUGUACCAUUAAUAUGACCACACAUUUCUUUAUUUGUGCAAAUUUUUAAAUUAGUAUAUAUUUAUGUUGAUUUUAACAUUUGAUGAAGUAAGUUUCUGUUAUUGUCUUGCCAAAAAUUCCUUGUUUUCAUGCAUUUCCCCCCUCCUUUCAAAGAUUUUUAAAAUUAGGUCCUCAAUUUCCAGUUUUAAAAUUCCUGUUGCGCACAGGUGAUUUUUAGGGCACUGAAGUGAAACUGUUCUGUGAUACUUCAAGGGUAAAUAUACAACAGUUUGCACUUGUGAAGACAAAACCAAAACAAAACUGUACAAUAUGAAGAAAAAACCCUAAGAUAAACUGGGGACUUCAGUUAACAGUGUUCUAUUAAUUUUAUUACAUCAAUUGUAAUGUACCACGCCAAUGCAAGGUGUUAAUCACAAGAGAAAUGGAGUGUGAAAGGAGGGGUAUAUAUUGAGAAUUCUACUGCUUCAUUUUUCUGUAAAUCUAAAACUUAUGUCAGAACAGUAUUUCAUGCUACACUGAUUAAAUUUUGGAGAACUGGCUGAACCUUUAAAAUAUAAAAUUUUUGUAUCUUGGAACAAGGAUAUCUUCCUAUUAAUUCAGGUCUUCAUUGAUGGUCCUACAUUAGUGUUUUAUUGUUUUCUCCAGGUAUGCCUUCCACAUUUUUGAUUUAUUUAUUCCUAGGUAUUUUAUGACUUUCUUGCUAUGGUGAAUAGCAUUCUUUUAAUUUCUAGUAUAUUUUCUCAUUGACUAUCACCGUUAUUUUAUGAAAGUUGUAUUUUCAGUGCAAUUUAAAGUUGUUGUUACUACAUAUUAUGUUAAUUAUUCCAUUAAUCAUUAAAUCUAUAUUCUUAAAAAGUCAAAAUAUUUUAAUAGUUACAACGAAUUUUUCUUCUGUUAAUUUUUCUAGUUUGGUAUUAAACCCAAAUUAUGUAGGUACACGUAUUAAAGAUGAAAAUGGUUUUUAUACUGUCUGCAAAGGACUUUUUGUUACAAGAGAAUUUACAUUAUUUUCCAUCAACAGGUUUACUCAUUACUUAUUCAGUUUUAGUUUCAGUUAUUUAAAAAGGAUAUGUUGAGGUUGGGGCUGUGGCUCAGUGGUAAAGCACUUGCCUGGCAAGUGUGAGGCAUAGGGUUCUAUCCUCAGCACUACAUUAAAAAAUAAAUAAAAUAAAGGUAUUGUGUCCAUCUUCAACAACAACAACAACAACAAAAUAUUAAAAACUUUGAAAUAAAUAAAAAGGAUAUAGUUGUAAAGUUUGGCUCCUUCACAGUCCUGGCAUUGCAACCCCAAAAGCACCACAUGGGCAACAAUGCUUUUGAAUAUAUCACAGGAAUUUUAGCACAUUAACUGAAAAUAAAUUUUCUCUAUUUUUUUUACAUUCAAAUAAAUUAAGUUCAGAUAAUAUUUUCCAUCUUUAAAUAAAAUAUUUUAAUUUCCCUUUUUGC
Marmota monax (woodchuck) is the source of this 10503-nucleotide long non-coding RNA. RefSeq lists it as uncharacterized. The transcript is spliced from 4 exons. The record is from RefSeq and is a predicted model, not a curated record. NCBI's taxonomy places the organism in Eukaryota, Metazoa, Chordata, Mammalia, Rodentia, Sciuridae.